Molecule: long non-coding RNA, 2329 nt
Organism: Monodelphis domestica (gray short-tailed opossum)
Lineage: Eukaryota; Metazoa; Chordata; Mammalia; Didelphimorphia; Didelphidae
Source: Ensembl
GGUGAUGCCUAAUGGGCAUGUCUGUCUUGUUGGCAUUGCACGACUCCUGCCAGAGUGGCCAAUGAAGAGAUCCAAAAUCAGGCUUCAGACUGUGUGGAUGUCCUGGGACUCUCUUCCUAGAGGGUUGGAUAAAUCUGCACCCAACCACCCAGCCUCCCAGUUACUGCUCCCAUAGGGCAGCUGGAGCAAAGGGACUCAACUAGCUGAGUUUGAGUCUGAGCUUCCUGCUACUUCCUCAGCUUUGUCUUCCUUGGCUUGAUUAAGGACUGUCUCACAGAAGCCCUGAAACAACAUGUCUAAUUUUGGAGGAAAUUGUACGUUUAAAGGUUAGAGAUCUUGGGUCCAUUGGUCAGAACUGGCAGGAAGCAAGAGAAGUUCCAACCUCAGAGAAGAUGGCCCAGGACAAGGGGCAGAGAGCACACUCUGGAGUUAUUUGGACAGUGCAGAGAAGAGGUGAAAUGUGACAAUGCCCCUUUAGCAGUUCCUCAAGCUGUUUCAUGUUCCACUGUUCAAAUUGCAGCCUCCAGGCUGAGUCUAAAAAUAAUUAAAAUUGCUAAUGGUUUAAUUUGGUCAGCUUUUGUCCCUGUGCACUAAGAACAGCAGUAGUUAUAAGUUAUUGAACAUUGUUUUAGGUCUUUCUGCCAAUACAAGCUGGUGAGUGCCUUUGUGUUUAGAAAAUCAAUACUGAUUGCAUACCUGUUUCAUUUAAGUACUUUGUGAGCCUUUCUAUGCCUCUCAUUUUGGGAAGUGAUUAGACAUGAGCCAGACCUAAGUUUUAAGCCAUCUUUUCCCCUGGAGCACCAACGUGGGGGUAUAAUAAGCAAAAGAGUAUGAGAAAAAGAACCCACUAUCUCAUGGUCAUGGACCAGGCUUCCCUAGAACUGGAUCUCUAGCUACCUGCCCCUAGAGCAGAUGAAGCUCUUAAAGCAGAGGGAAAGGGAGCAGUAUUUCUGUUCCUCUGGGCCACUUAGUGAUUACUAUUAUAUGAUAUAUAGUUAUUUAUAUUAUAUAUAAACCAUUUGGUGGUUACUAUUACAUAUAAUUAUUCAUAUAUAACAUACGUAUAUAAAUGGCUGGCCAUUUUUUUCUCUAGCUCUUUUAACAGAUGAGGAAAAUAGGGCAAAAAAGGGUGUUAAGGGACUUGCUGAGGAUCACCCAGUUAGUAUCUGAUGCCAGAUUUGAACUCAGGAUGAUGUCUUCCUGACUCCAGGCAUGGCAUUCUAUUCACUGGGUGACCUGGCUAACUAAUAGGUAGAUAUUUUCAAAUGAUUCUACCUUUGUAUCUGAUUCAUUGCUCUUAAUCAAAUGUUCCAGAGUAUCUGAUAUGUGGGAUGGAUGUCUUCUUAAAGAGUACCAAGAAUGGAUCUGGAAUAUUCCCCUCCAAGGGAAGCUACUGACUUUUUAGACUUUGCCUCAGCUGCAAUCUCACCAUGAAACAUUCCUCUGUACCUGGGAACUUCUCACCAUAGAACAUUACCCAUUUUCCUUGUCUGCUUCCUUCUCCCAUUGGUGAAUUCCUCCUGUUGCUUUUGAGGAGAAACCUAGGCUGGCCAACCUUGAUUCCUCUAUCCACCAUGCUUCUGAUUUUACUGAUUUCAAGAGCAGGCUCUGACUCCAGUAUCUCUCCCCCCCCCCUUUUUUAAUUCCCUUUUGUGUGUUGUCUUCCUCUAUUAGAAUGUAAGCUUCUUGAUAAUUAGGAAAAAGACUUGUACAAGAAUAUUCAUAGCUGCACUCUUUGUGGUGGCAAAAAUUUGGAAAAUUAAGGGAUGCCCUUCGAUUGGGGAAUGACUGAACAAAUUGUGGUAUCUGUUGGUGAUGGAAUUCUAUUGUGCUCAAAGGAAUAAUGAACUGGAGGGAUUCCAUGUGAACUGGAACGACCUCCAGGAAUUGAUACAGAGUGAAAGAAGCAGAAGCAGGAGAACGUUGUACACGGAGACAGAUACAUUAUAGCACAAUCAAGUGUAAUGGACUUUUCUACUAGCAGCAAUGCAAUGAUCCAGGACCAUUUUGAGGAACUUAUGAGAAAGAAUGGAUCCACAUCCAGAGAAAGAACUGUGGGAGCAGAAACACUGAAGAAAAACAACUAUUUGAUCACAUGAAUCGAUGGGGAUAUGAUUAGGGAUGUAGACUCUAAAGGAUCACCCUGGUGCAAAUAUCAAUAAUAUGGAAAUAGAUCUUGAUCAAUGACACAUGUAAAACCCAAUGGAAUUGUGCAUUGGCUACAGGAGGGGGGGAGGAGGAAGGGAGGGAAAGAACAUGAAUUGUAACCAUGGAAAAAUAGUCUAAAUUAAUCAAUAAAAUUAAAUUAAAAAGAAAAAAGAAUGUAAGC